GGUCCAAAGGCACACCUACUGCCCACCGAGGUGUGAAGGACCCCGCUCAGUAACCUCCAGGUCACGGAGAGGUUUCUGCAAGGACCUAUUUACAUCCAGUUUUCACCUGGAACAAAAGACCUUGGAAAAUGUCGAAGAGCAGGCCUGCUGUGUGGAGGCUGGACACAGCACAGGACUCUGCAGAUGGAAACAAGGGCAGAGGUCUGGCUUACCAAAUGCAGGAUGUUGAAGAAGAGAUAAUCAAAAUGGAUUCCAAAUGAACAAGCUGGUUAAAAACCCAAGGUAUUGUUUAAGAUGUGUAUGUGCUUUGAGAUUAAAACCCAGCAUUAUUCUAAGCUCUUCUAAAACAAGACAGUAAUUCAAGCAGCAAACAGGGAAAACCGCUGCAUAUUGCUUGGCUCGAGGCUGAAACCAAGAACAGGCACCGAGGCUCGUAAACCUUUCUUACAACUUGGCCAGGAUUCACAAACCCUGAAAAAUACGGCCCAUGUGACAGUCCGGGGGAAAACGGACAGCCGGGGGAGCCUCCCGGUGCCAAGGGCUCCCUGCUGCCGGGACUGGGCUCCGCGCGGUGCGAGCCCCUCUUCUGGCAGGACGUCGUAACAGCAGCCCGUAAAGCUGCGGGAAGCCAAACUCCGCUUUUUCUUUUACUUCCACAUAAUUUUAUUUCUCGGGAACCUGUCAGUUGCUCGACACUGAAAUUUUGCGCAGGAGAAAGACAAGUUUUGCUUCAUCGUCUCACACACAGAUUUCGAGGAAGAACUUGGGAACUGUGAAAACCUUUUGUUCUGGCCUUUUCCAAGUUGAAAAGUUCAGUCAAUGCAUUUCACAAUGAUUCCUGGUUCGGGGAAUUCCUGACUAAAAGCCCAUUUGCAGCUGAAAUCCAAGCACAGGCCCCCUGCCUGUGCUGCGGGGUGGUGGGGAGCCAGCCCCAGACCGGACAUCUCCCCUCCGCCUCCCUCCGAAGCGGUUUUGGAGGCAGCCUGCACCUCUUCUGCACCGCUGGGGCCUGGGGCUGUAGCUGGGGAAUCAGCAUGUCAGGGAAGAGAUGUCUGGGAGCUUUACUGGGAUGUGGCUGUGUCCUGAGGGGAAAAUACCAAGCCAUGAGUGUCUGUGCCGGGUAGGGAGGUGCUGUGGCAAGCAGUGGGUUUCAUGGCUGGCCUGUGCAGUUUGGGGCUGGGACACAACAGUGGUGUCACGCCGCUGUGCAGAUCCACUCCGGUCUGCCUGGGAAGGCACUGGGGCAGCGCUGGCACCCCAGGGACCGCAGGGACAGCACCACCCCGGGCAGCGCUCAGCUCCCGCUCACCUGCCAAUUAACGCUGUAUAAAGUUCCUUUCGUGUUUCCAAGUGUAACGAGCUUCAAUUUCGGCACACUGAAUUUCCUCAGUCAGUGGUGGUGCUGCAAAGCAGCCUGUUCAUGGUUCUGAGGAACCUGCCAGCAUGGAAGCAGACUGGCUACCUGCGGCAGGGCACGCAGCACCUCUUGCCUUCCCAUCCCUGUAGUGUGACGCUUCCCAGCGAGCUGCCCACCUCCCCCGGAUUUCCCUGCGUUCCCCACAGGCAUGCUGUGCCGGGUGGGUCCUGACAGCAGAUUCGCCUGAAUGCAUUCAGCAAACGCGGAGGUAAAGAGAGACUGGGCUUAGAAGUCCUGCCCUCCUCCCGCCCCAUCUCUGGGGAGGAGAUGCACGAAACCAGGAAGCUGACACCAGGAAGCCAUAGGGUUACGAAGACAGAGCAUCACUGGUGAUCCUAACUGCGGGGUGGAUGGGGACGGAAGAGCCCUCAGCCCCAUUACCAUGCAAGUGAGCAGGGCACAUCUUCCGCUAUACGAAGCAAUGUGGGGUGAUGGAGAGUGCUUCACCCACCCUGGGUCUCUGACUUCGUGUUGGAGUGGACAGACACCAGGUGGCAAAGGCAUGGCCUAGCUCAAGUGAUGGUUUAUUACGUUCAGGCAACAUUUUGAAAGGCAGUUUUAACAUUUGGUGAGUUUCCAAGUAGAAAAUGCAGACUGUGUUUCAUUUUGUCCUUACAGGAGAGUCUCAUAGGGCUCCUACCCUCAAGGCUGUAGAAUUGUUAUACUUGAGUAUAACAGGAAAUACUGGAUAUAUCAAAAAAGAUAGAGGGCAGGCAUACAGCUGUCAAACAUAAAGUACCUGGCAACAACCAAAACAGCGCUCUCUGGUCUGCUCGCUGGUGUCAUUUCCCGUGUUAGGCUUACAACAGCCAGAGGCUGCCAGCAGCAACGCUGUCUUUUGUUGAAACUGGUUGGCUCUUCUUACACUUGAUCAAACAGCAUAUGCAAUCUGUUGAAUUAAAAAAAUCAUGGAUAAACUUCCAAGACUGCUUGGAAUGUGAAUGAUUCUGCCACAGAGAUCUAUGGAAGAACGGAUCAGUGGAUAGCUCAGUAUCUGUUGCUUUGAUUUAUAGGAAGAUGGAGACCUGCAUGCUGAUGUCAAAACAAAGCCCCCGGCUGUCGUUCUCUGACAGUACUAACUUGUGGCUUCCCUAUAAGAAACAGGACUGACUAUUCAGAGCCUUAUGUCUUUGGUGAGUAACAUGCCAGAAAGACUAAUUUCAGUUGAGAUGAUAUGUAUUGCAAUUUUCAGUAUGCAAAACCAAUGAAUUUUUACGUUGGAAGGAGAAAAUAGGUGCAGAGGACAUUGGAAAGGAGCAGCUCAGCAGCAAAAGGCACAACGUGUGCUACCAGAGCUGUGACACUGUGCUGUGUGACUGCAAACAUACGAUUUACAGCGCUACAUUUU
Cygnus atratus (black swan) is the source of this 2765-nucleotide long non-coding RNA. RefSeq lists it as uncharacterized. NCBI's taxonomy places the organism in Eukaryota, Metazoa, Chordata, Aves, Anseriformes, Anatidae. The transcript is spliced from 3 exons. The record is from RefSeq and is a predicted model, not a curated record.